Molecule: non-coding RNA, 360 nt
Organism: Triticum urartu
Lineage: Eukaryota; Viridiplantae; Streptophyta; Magnoliopsida; Poales; Poaceae
Source: RefSeq, a predicted model, not a curated record
CAAAAGGGGGACUAGCAAUCUACAACAUCAGAAGGAUGAUUCAGAAGCACAAGAAUGAAGCCAAGAAUCGCAAACUGCAAGGCAUCCUUUUUAAAUUAGUGCAGGGCGAGGAAGAGUCAAGAGCAAACUAAGAGGGCUUUUACUAUCCUAUGUGAUCUUCACCGUCGAAGGGUCUGGUUUGAUUACCGCACAUCAAAUGCUAUAUGCCAUGUUUGUUUCCAUCCUUCUUCGAGGCUUAUGAUAGGUGCUAUUUCAUUGCUCAUUGGGUAUGAAAAUGUUGAGCAAGAGGAUGAUAGUGAUGCCAGCAGUGACGAUGAAGCAAUUCAAAACCCAAAUAUUGUACUUAGUAAAGAGGACGUU